CCGAGUUUACAACUCCCAAACCCCUGUGAACAUACCACUUGUUGCCUCGGCGAUCAGCCCGCUCCCGGUAAAACGGGACGGGCCCGCCAGAGGACCCCUAAACUCUGUUUCUAUAUGUAACUUCUGAGUAAAACCAUAAAUAAAUC
RNAcentral lists this unclassified non-coding RNA (146 nucleotides) under soil metagenome. RNAcentral describes it as "partial internal transcribed spacer 1". The record is from RNAcentral.